Molecule: long non-coding RNA, 1749 nt
Organism: Passer domesticus (house sparrow)
Lineage: Eukaryota; Metazoa; Chordata; Aves; Passeriformes; Passeridae
Exons: 2
Source: RefSeq, a predicted model, not a curated record
GUUAAUGGGUUACCUGUGUAAUAAACCAGCUCAUCCCAGCCAGGUUUAUGCCACGCUGCAUUCCUUAUAUCUUCCCUGGUUUGCAGGUCUUUGUAAGCUGGGAAAACAAGCACAAAGUGACUCCUUUGCCUUCUGCACAGGAAGAGAUCCCUUAAAAGAAUUCCAAGGAGGAAUUAGGAGGCUGGGAAGAGCAGGAAGGAAAAAAAAUCAGGAUUUCUCUGCCAGCAGGAAAAGCUCCCAGAGCAGCACAAAGAGAAGGAGCUGGGGAAGAGAGAAAAUGCCUGGGCACAGAGGAGAAAGCUGAAAUAGCAAAUUCUGCUAUGCAGGGGAAAGGUGGAUACACCCCCACAGAGAGGUGAGUGUUACCAUUUUUUUAGCAAUCUGUAACAAAGAUCUAUAACAUUUCUAUAACAUAUAACAUUUACUGCAUCUUUGGAUGCAAUAAAUUAGAUGUAUCUAAAUAAUUAUGUCUAUCUAAAAGGUUAUCCAACACAUCAGGAAAACAAAUAUCAGGAUAUCUCACUGAAAACUCAGCAUACAUGGGUGAUUUGUUUGAGGAGAAGCUUUUCUUUGCUUGAGGAAAAACUUUUCUUUGCUUGAGGAAAGCUCCCCUCAAGGGGGGAGAACUCAGAAAUAUGAAAGCACGCUCUUCUAAACCAGUUACAACUGCUGAGCUGAAUGAAUAAAAAUAAUUUGAUAAAUGAAGUAAUGGCUGUAGCUCACAGCAUUGCUUUUUGAUUUCAGAAACUGCUCUUACCUUGAGGCAACUCACCACUAAUGAACAGUGGGACUGCCUUCAGAAUACCUCCAACACACAACUCCUGUCUGACUCUUCCCAGGAUUUCUAACACUCUUUCAAACUUUAGAAGAGGCCCAUAUUAGCAUGAGGAAAUUAAGUUUUGUUGAUUGCUGACUCAGUCAAGACUGCUUUCCUGCACUGUGCCUUGAUGAAUAAGUCAAUUAGUCUGCUUGAACUCUGCCUUUUCUAUUUUUCCCUGAAUAAUUACCCUUCUUCCUCAGUUUGGCUCACAGGCAGAGUCUCUGCACAGUAUCAAGGAAUAAAAAGUAGGCUGGGCUGGGCUGGGAGUCAUUAGAGAUGAGUUUUCCUCUGGAUUCUGCCACUGACUUUCCAGACAACCUUGAGCAAAUCUCAUUACCAAUUUGUACCUCGACAUUUUCUCACUAGCCAGGGUAAAUAAUAUGAUAAAAUGACACUCCUAGGAUAUUUCCAAGGAUGUUUCACCACCAGUUCAUUUUUGCAAAGUAGAAUGAGAUCCUGGAAAGGCAGCUUUGAAGAGGAAUGGGAAGUUAUUGCAUAAUUCUGCCAUAUAUUGUUGAAAAUUAAGAGAAAAAAUGCCCACAGAGCACCUUUUAAAAAAACCUGUCCCUAAUUCUUCAGAAGGGCUCCUUAACCAAAGUGAUUAAUGAUAUAUUCUUGCAAUUAUCUUCAUUACAUUAUUUAUUAAUGCCUGAUGACUAAUCCUCAUUUUGAUUUGAUACAGAAUUAACCUGCUCUUUUUCUUUCUUUAGGGAGAGGCAGGAGGGAAGUUCAGAGAGGCUUAAUUUUGUUUAUUACUUUAUUCAAGUUGUCUUCUUGCCUGAAAUACUUCAAUUUGCUUUGGAAAGAAUCAAUCUAACCACAGAUAUUUCAUCUGACUGCUGUCAGCAGUUUCUUUCUUUGCUGUUUGUCUCUUUCCAUGAAAACAGAAAUCUCUGCUCUCACUCAACAUUCAGGCAGCUCAUGAAAUA